RNAcentral lists this ribosomal RNA (463 nucleotides) under uncultured Syntrophorhabdus sp. RNAcentral describes it as "bacterial SSU rRNA". It matches the Rfam family "Bacterial small subunit ribosomal RNA", at positions 924 to 1382 of the family's 1533-position model. Lineage: Bacteria; Pseudomonadati; Thermodesulfobacteriota; Syntrophorhabdia; Syntrophorhabdales; Syntrophorhabdaceae. The record is from RNAcentral.
CACAAGCGGUGGAGCAUUGUGGUUUAAUUCGACGCGAACGCGAAAACCUUACCUGGGCUUGACAUGCCGGGAAUCCGAUGGAACAUUGGAGUGCCCCGCAAGGGGAACCCGGACACAGGUGCUGCAUGGCUGUCGUCAGCUCGUGCCGUGAGGUGUUGGGUUAAGUCCCGCAACGAGCGCAACCCUCAUCCUUAGUUGCCAGCAUUUAAGGUGGGCACUCUAAGGAAACUGCCGCAGUUAAUGCGGAGGAAGGUGGGGAUGACGUCAAGUCCUCAUGGCCCUUAUGUCCAGGGCUACACACGUGCUACAAUGGGUGGAACAAAGGGUUGUGAACCCGUAAGGGGGGAACUAAUCCCAGAAACCCGAUCGUAGUCCGGAUUGCAGUCUGCAACUCGACUGCAUGAAGUCGGAAUCGCUAGUAAUCGCGGAUCAGCAUGUCGCGGUGAAUACGUUCCCGGGUCUU